GUGAGGAAUAUUGGUCAAUGGGCGGUAGCCUGAACCAGCCAAGUCGCGUGAGGGAAGACGGCCCUACGGGUUGUAAACCUCUUUUGCCGGGGAGCAAUGACAUUCUUGCGAGAGUGUAGGGAGAGUACCCGGAGAAAAAGCAUCGGCUAACUCCGUGCCAGCAGCCGCGGUAAUACGGAGGAUGCGAGCGUUAUCCGGAUUUAUUGGGUUUAAAGGGUGCGUAGGCGGCGUUCCAAGUCAGCGGUAAAAUUGCGGGGCUCAACCCCGCCGAGCCGUUGAAACUGGCGCGCUUGAGUGGGCGAGAAGUAUGCGGAAUGCGUGGUGUAGCGGUGAAAUGCAUAGAUAUCACGCAGAACCCCGAUUGCGAAGGCAGCAUACCGGCGCCCUACUGACGCUGAAGCACGAAAGCGUGGGUAUCGAACAGGA
Molecule: ribosomal RNA, 426 nt
Filed under: uncultured bacterium
Lineage: Bacteria
Description: bacterial SSU rRNA
Rfam family: Bacterial small subunit ribosomal RNA
Source: RNAcentral